AUACUUACCUUAAGACGUCGGAGGAGAUCAAGAAGUCCUUCCGACCGGAUAUAUCUUUCUUGAGCGAUGCCCGUCUUUUACAGGAGGCAGGUUCGCUUGCUCAGUUGCUUUGCAACUGCACACACUUGCGAAAGGUGUAUUUGCUGACGCUUCGUUCUCUCGUUCCGCUUGUGGGCUACUGUCUUCCACCUGGGAGGCAGGGGUCUACUUGUCGGGGCCCUUUGUUUCUUCUGCCUGGAGAAGGAUGGUGCUGAUUACAAGUCAGCGCUGGGAGAGCUGGGUGCAGAGCUGAUUGAUCCAGUUACUGGACCCUCAGUCUUGUGUGGUAGUCGAUUCCUGUGUACAGCGGGCACUGGUGUUUUUGGUGUUGUUUUCGGACGGCGCCGAAGGCUACUGGAGCACGCAGGUGCACGGAGAAGGUGUGCUACCCAGGGCAGCUCUGCAUUUGGUAGGGGCGGGUAGGUCUUAUAAUUUUUGAUGUUCAAUCUU
Molecule: small nuclear RNA, 489 nt
Filed under: Lachancea thermotolerans CBS 6340
Lineage: Eukaryota; Fungi; Ascomycota; Saccharomycetes; Saccharomycetales; Saccharomycetaceae
Description: U1 RNA
Rfam family: Yeast U1 spliceosomal RNA
About the family: U1 is a small nuclear RNA (snRNA) component of the spliceosome (involved in pre-mRNA splicing). Its 5' end forms complementary base pairs with the 5' splice junction, thus defining the 5' donor site of an intron.
Source: RNAcentral